CACCCUAGUUCUGUGUUACUGGGGCUGGGGGCCAGGAGGCAGGAUAGGACAUGCUCUUGCCUCCCCACCUCCGCUGUGCUCAGCAGCUGGUGGAGACCUGGGAGGAGAAUCCCAGGCUGAUGCCUAGCGUGGGCCCAGUAAAGUCUUUGGGGAUUUGAUGCAACCCCGAGUUCCUGAUGGCUCAUGGAGAGGCUGUGCCUGCACCUCGUGGCGAUGAGCCAUCUGGGGCUCGCCCCGCACCCAGCACAUGGCUAGGAGCAUAGUGAACUCCGUCUCUAGGAAUGGGCAGGACCCAGGAAGGCUAGUGAAAAGAUGCAUUUGAGGCCUGAGCUCUCUGUGUCCAGAAGCAGCCCCCUCAGGUUGUGGGGGGACACUCUGGGUCUUGCACCUGCCAAGGCCCCUGCCACAGAGAAUGGGAACAGCACUGCUCCCCCAGGGCCACUCCAAGUUUUCUGGUCUCAAGAUGCAGUCCCUGUGGGGCUGUGGGUGGGCCCCCUCUCUGCCUAGCCCAGUUCCAGCUACAGAAGCUGUGUGGAAACAUCUCCCCUGAACCAAGUGCCUUUGAACUUUCCAGGAAUGCUGGCCUGGGGCGGAGCAGGGGUGGCAGGGAAGGACAGGCGUGGGGUGGGAUGUUCCAGAAUCUACUGGGACCCAAACCCGAGAGCACCGAGUUCCCACGAGCCAAUGCCUGGCUGUGGAGGAACCGGGAGGUCACAGGGAUGCAAUGGGCAACAUCAGGAUGAGGCAGGAAAGAAAACUGGCUCAGAGAGGCUGAGUAACCUGCUCAAGAUGACACAGCUUGUGGGUGGCUGAGUUGGCCUUCCAACCCAGAUUCCUGUCAUGUUCCUCAAGCCGACAGGUUCAGCUUGGUUGUGACCUCUGCUAGAAGCCCUCCCUGGCCUCCCUGUGCACUGAGCUGGUGGUUCCUCCUUUGCGCCCCAGGUACAUGCUCAGAUCUGUGUACCCUACACUUUGUCCUCCAGCUUCGUGUUUGGAUGUUCACAACUCCCAUGAGAAGGGCCCCCGAGAGCUGGCACAGUGCAUGUGUUUCCUCUCCAGACUUCUACAAACCUGGCACAUAAUUGUUUGCUGAAAGAUGGCAUGUUCCUAAAACAGAGGAAGUAGAACCGAAUAAAGCGAAAUCCAACUUCCCA
Molecule: long non-coding RNA, 1154 nt
Filed under: Homo sapiens (human)
Lineage: Eukaryota; Metazoa; Chordata; Mammalia; Primates; Hominidae
Description: HSALNT0302102
Source: RNAcentral